Molecule: ribosomal RNA, 440 nt
Filed under: uncultured bacterium
Lineage: Bacteria
Description: partial 16S ribosomal RNA
Rfam family: Bacterial small subunit ribosomal RNA
Source: RNAcentral
CCUACGGGGGGCAGCAGUGGGGAAUAUUGGACAAUGGGGGAAACCCUGAUCCAGCGACGCCGCGUGAGUGAAGAAGUAUUUCGGUACGUAAAGCUCUAUCAGCAGGGAAGAAAAUGACGGUACCUGACUAAGAAGCCCCGGCUAACUACGUGCCAGCAGCCGCGGUAAUACGUAGGGGGCAAGCGUUAUCCGGAUUUACUGGGUGUAAAGGGAGCGUAGACGGCAGCGCAAGUCUGGAGUGAAAUGCCGGGGCUCAACCCCGGAACUGCUCUGGAAACUGUGAAGCUGGAGUGCAGGAGAGGUAAGCGGAAUUCCUGGUGUAGCGGUGAAAUGCGUAGAUAUCAGGAGGAACACCGGCGGCGAAGGCGGCUUACUGGACUGUAACUGACGUUGAGGCUCGAAGGCGUGGGGAGCAAACAGGAUUAGAUACCCCUGUAGUC